RNAcentral lists this ribosomal RNA (2473 nucleotides) under Escherichia coli. Its description in RNAcentral is "partial 23S ribosomal RNA". It matches the Rfam family "Bacterial large subunit ribosomal RNA", at positions 400 to 2852 of the family's 2925-position model. Lineage: Bacteria; Pseudomonadati; Pseudomonadota; Gammaproteobacteria; Enterobacterales; Enterobacteriaceae. The record is from RNAcentral.
UGAGCUCGAUGAGUAGGGCGGGACACGUGGUAUCCUGUCUGAAUAUGGGGGGACCAUCCUCCAAGGCUAAAUACUCCUGACUGACCGAUAGUGAACCAGUACCGUGAGGGAAAGGCGAAAAGAACCCCGGCGAGGGGAGUGAAAAAGAACCUGAAACCGUGUACGUACAAGCAGUGGGAGCCUCUUAAUGGGGUGACUGCGUACCUUUUGUAUAAUGGGUCAGCGACUUAUAUUCUGUAGCAAGGUUAACCGAAUAGGGGAGCCGAAGGGAAACCGAGUCUUAACUGGGCGUUAAGUUGCAGGGUAUAGACCCGAAACCCGGUGAUCUAGCCAUGGGCAGGUUGAAGGUUGGGUAACACUAACUGGAGGACCGAACCGACUAAUGUUGAAAAAUUAGCGGAUGACUUGUGGCUGGGGGUGAAAGGCCAAUCAAACCGGGAGAUAGCUGGUUCUCCCCGAAAGCUAUUUAGGUAGCGCCUCGUGAAUUCAUCUCCGGGGGUAGAGCACUGUUUCGGCAAGGGGGUCAUCCCGACUUACCAACCCGAUGCAAACUGCGAAUACCGGAGAAUGUUAUCACGGGAGACACACGGCGGGUGCUAACGUCCGUCGUGAAGAGGGAAACAACCCAGACCGCCAGCUAAGGUCCCAAAGUCAUGGUUAAGUGGGAAACGAUGUGGGAAGGCCCAGACAGCCAGGAUGUUGGCUUAGAAGCAGCCAUCAUUUAAAGAAAGCGUAAUAGCUCACUGGUCGAGUCGGCCUGCGCGGAAGAUGUAACGGGGCUAAACCAUGCACCGAAGCUGCGGCAGCGACGCUUAUGCGUUGUUGGGUAGGGGAGCGUUCUGUAAGCCUGUGAAGGUGUGCUGUGAGGCAUGCUGGAGGUAUCAGAAGUGCGAAUGCUGACAUAAGUAACGAUAAAGCGGGUGAAAAGCCCGCUCGCCGGAAGACCAAGGGUUCCUGUCCAACGUUAAUCGGGGCAGGGUGAGUCGACCCCUAAGGCGAGGCCGAAAGGCGUAGUCGAUGGGAAACAGGUUAAUAUUCCUGUACUUGGUGUUACUGCGAAGGGGGGACGGAGAAGGCUAUGUUGGCCGGGCGACGGUUGUCCCGGUUUAAGCGUGUAGGCUGGUUUUCCAGGCAAAUCCGGAAAACCAAGGCUGAGGCGUGAUGACGAGGCACUACGGUGCUGAAGCGACAAAUGCCCUGCUUCCAGGAAAAGCCUCUAAGCAUCAGGUAACAUCAAAUCGUACCCCAAACCGACACAGGUGGUCAGGUAGAGAAUACCAAGGCGCUUGAGAGAACUCGGGUGAAGGAACUAGGCAAAAUGGUGCCGUAACUUCGGGAGAAGGCACGCUGAUAUGUAGGUGAAGCGACUUGCUCGUGGAGCUGAAAUCAGUCGAAGAUACCAGCUGGCUGCAACUGUUUAUUAAAAACACAGCACUGUGCAAACACGAAAGUGGACGUAUACGGUGUGACGCCUGCCCGGUGCCGGAAGGUUAAUUGAUGGGGUUAGCGGCAACGCGAAGCUCUUGAUCGAAGCCCCGGUAAACGGCGGCCGUAACUAUAACGGUCCUAAGGUAGCGAAAUUCCUUGUCGGGUAAGUUCCGACCUGCACGAAUGGCGUAAUGAUGGCCAGGCUGUCUCCACCCGAGACUCAGUGAAAUUGAACUCGCUGUGAAGAUGCAGUGUACCCGCGGCAAGACGGAAAGACCCCGUGAACCUUUACUAUAGCUUGACACUGAACAUUGAGCCUUGAUGUGUAGGAUAGGUGGGAGGCUUUGAAGUGUGGACGCCAGUCUGCAUGGAGCCGACCUUGAAAUACCACCCUUUAAUGUUUGAUGUUCUAACGUUGGCCCCUAAUCGGGGUUGCGGACAGUGUCUGGUGGGUAGUUUGACUGGGGCGGUCUCCUCCUAAAGAGUAACGGAGGAGCACGAAGGUUGGCUAAUCCUGGUCGGACAUCAGGAGGUUAGUGCAAUGGCAUAAGCCAGCUUGACUGCGAGCGUGACGGCGCGAGCAGGUGCGAAAGCAGGUCAUAGUGAUCCGGUGGUUCUGAAUGGAAGGGCCAUCGCUCAACGGAUAAAAGGUACUCCGGGGAUAACAGGCUGAUACCGCCCAAGAGUUCAUAUCGACGGCGGUGUUUGGCACCUCGAUGUCGGCUCAUCACAUCCUGGGGCUGAAGUAGGUCCCAAGGGUAUGGCUGUUCGCCAUUUAAAGUGGUACGCGAGCUGGGUUUAGAACGUCGUGAGACAGUUCGGUCCCUAUCUGCCGUGGGCGCUGGAGAACUGAGGGGGGCUGCUCCUAGUACGAGAGGACCGGAGUGGACGCAUCACUGGUGUUCGGGUUGUCAUGCCAAUGGCACUGCCCGGUAGCUAAAUGCGGAAGAGAUAAGUGCUGAAAGCAUCUAAGCACGAAACUUGCCCCGAGAUGAGUUCUCCCUGAGACUUAGAGUCUCCUGAAGGAACGUUGAAGACGACGACG